RNAcentral lists this ribosomal RNA (253 nucleotides) under uncultured bacterium. RNAcentral's name for it is "partial 16S ribosomal RNA". It matches the Rfam family "Bacterial small subunit ribosomal RNA", at positions 524 to 776 of the family's 1533-position model. The record is from RNAcentral.
UACGUAGGGUGCAAGCGUUGUCCGGAAUUAUUGGGCGUAAAGAGCUCGUAGGCGGUCUGUCACGUCGGAUGUGAAAUCCCGAGGCUCAACCUCGGGUCUGCAGUCGAUACGGGCAAACUAGAGUAUUGCAGGGGAGACUGGAAUUCCUGGUGUAGCGGUGAAAUGCGCAGAUAUCAGGAGGAACACCGGUGGCGAAGGCGGGUCUCUGGGCAAUAACUGACGCUGAGGAGCGAAAGCGUGGGGAGCGAACAGG